This 69-nucleotide transfer RNA is filed under the name Diploglossus pleii. RNAcentral describes it as "tRNA-Trp". Lineage: Eukaryota; Metazoa; Chordata; Lepidosauria; Squamata; Diploglossidae. The record is from RNAcentral.
AGAAACUUAAGUUAACAAAACUAAGAGCCUUCAAAGCCCUAAAUAGGCACCCACCACCCCUAGUUUCUG